CACGGUAAGGAGUUGGGAUUUCGGGAUGCAGAUGUCACAUCGCCGUGCAAACGACUCCCGCAGUAGCACUUUAUCGGGAUUUCGACCUGCAUCUUUUAUCUCUUUUAGAAAAGCGUCUCUCGGAGGAGAUUGCCCUCAAUAGACCCGCCAUAAAAACAUUUUAGUAUUGCUCUUGUGCUUCUGUGCAUCCCACUGCGAAGGGGUCCCAGUGGUCCCUUGGGAAUACAAGGAGUUGUGAGAAGUUACACAACUGGCCACCAGACUAAUCCACUCCCUCUACCUUCCCGCGAGUACCUCCCCCUUCUGCUCUUUUCUUCAAUAGCAGCCCUUUCUCAAAAUCUCAGGUUACUUUGCUAAAGAGUUCUCAGCCUUAUAGUUUCUGCCCUUGUCUCUGCCUCCAGCUCCUUAAGAGCCACCCAACCCCAGCGAUUGGAUUGGGCAGCCCGUCUUGACACACCACUGUGCUGAGUGCUUGAGGACGUGUUUCAACAGAUGGUUGGGGUUAGUGUGUGUCAUCACACUCGAGUGGGGAUUAGGGGAGAGAGGCAGCCUUGCUGGAGCUGUGUGGUCUUCCCCAAGUGUGAGCUGCAAGCAAAAGAAGAAGUACCUAGCUCUGGGGGAGAAACGGGAAGAAUCGUUUCCAGCAGCUCAGAAGGAAAAAUAAAACCCCACACUUUGUUCAGAUCUUCACAGUAACUGUCACAUACCUCUGGUGCUUAUGAAUUAUUGGCCUCCUACUUGUGAAAGAAAUCUAACACUGUCCUCACCAGUUACAGUGUGUCCUGUGAGAAGCUCAAUACGCCAGCUUCAGCACACAGAGCUUCAGACUUCCAGCAAAGUGAAGAUGCAGCACUGCAAGCUGCAGAGCCUGCUGCUGUCAGUGCCUAACAAACCUAUCCCUCCCUCUUUGUGGUAUCAUUGGAUCACAGAUCUGAAGAUCUAUAGGAAACCAUAUUUUUUUAAGAAAGUGCAUAGCUAAAUACACAUGCCCAACUUGUUAUUGUUUUACUAGGGGGAAAAAACCCUAACUAGUUUCUCUAGCACUGCCAGAAAAUUGUGCUGAGAAACUAGGAACAGCAAAUCAUGUUUUUCCUUCCUUCAUAAUGAUGGGGCUGUUUAAAAGACAAUGCCCACGGGGCAGUCCAGCUUCUUGUCAAAAUGUAAUCUACUGUUCCAGAUGGUAAACAUUCAAAGACAUAUUUAUGGUGACUUCUACAUACCUCCCUUUGACAUUGGCUUUUUUUUUUUUCCCUGAGAGCACUUGUGCUGGGUACACACAUGAAGUUCCCAUUAGCAUCCUA
Molecule: long non-coding RNA, 1301 nt
Filed under: Parus major (Great Tit)
Lineage: Eukaryota; Metazoa; Chordata; Aves; Passeriformes; Paridae
Description: lncRNA (ENSPMJG00000005029.1)
Source: RNAcentral